UAUUAUUGUAUGAGUAAUUCAUAAUUAUUUAUUGUCUAAUUAAUUAUUGUAAUUAGUGAAUAAAUACUACUUAAAGAGAUAGUAAAACCACAGUAAUGAGUAAUACUCAAUAGUUAGCGUCACUACAAAUUGAAAAUGUACAAUCUAUAAAAAAGAAAUAGUAUAGGAAUGAGUCACCAUAACAGUAAUCAGCAGUUCCAAUUUUGUAUGGUUAGCUUUAAUAUUAAAAUUGGAAGGUAUAUUGAUCUAUUAGCAACCUCAGAGCUUAUAAGUUCAUCAAGUCUCCUGGACAUCGUCUUUCUACGGUUACCUAUUAUAUCACCGAGAUGAAUACCUACUGUUCGGCUGUUAAUUUUAUUUAUUUUUAAACAAUAGGUAAGUAAAUCAUAAUAAUAAUUACCGAUUCGACGCUGUCCAGUGGUAUGCUCUGGAAUUGCUGUUGUUGCUGUUGCUGUUGUACAGACAUUGUCGACAAAUACGAAUAGAGACAAAAAGGUAGGUAAAAAAAAAAACUGUAGUUUGGCGAGAGCCGAUUGCCGACAGAAUGACAGUCGACGGAUUGAAAUUAAUAAUAAUUACAUUCCGUUUUCAAACGAUUCGUUGACUAUCAUCUCAGUAUGAUAAUAUGAUUGCUUAUCAGUCAUCGGGCAAUGGCCGGCAAUGUAAACAAAAUAUUAUGUCAACUUUAACCGUGUGUCCGUGUCAAAAACAAUCGUCGCUCGACGACAGUCAUACAACUUGACGGUAAACAUACAUAAUACCGUAGAACCAGUAACCACAUUAAAACCUACCUAUGAUAAUACGCGUUUACGCACGCCGUUGAGAGAACUCUGCCGUGGAAGUGGAACACAAACACUAUAGCCACAGAAUAUAUAUAAUUUCAUAUUAUAUUCUGUGCUAUAGCCACUAAGGUAAGUCACUAACGCUAGACCCCCCCAAAAUUCAAACUGUGUAAACCAUAACUAAGUUUAUAGGUCUAUGGUGUCAAUAUAUUUUCACUCGUUCAUUGCAUUUCAAACGCCUUUAAAAAUAAGUUCUGCCUGUACAUUAGGUUCUUCAGGGCAUUUUUUAAUACUGAAAAAAAAAUUUCAAUUUUGAUUCAACUAUUUUUGAAAAAAUUCAAAAUAGCCAAUUUGUGAAUCUGAUUAAGAACAAUUUAUUUUGAUAGUAAAAACAUUUAUCUAAGUCAACUAGUGUUUAUUAUUGGGAAUUUCCUAACAUGAGUAUAUUUUUUAAAUUAUUUAUUAAUCAUAUAAUUUCCACAAUUUUUGUGAUACGUUUAGUACUACGUUUAGUAGUAUCAUUUUUUUCCAGGUCUUCCUUUUACACCCUGUAUGUCCAAUCCAUUCAUUUCUUCUUUAUUCGGACAUUAUUUCCAAUACUUCCUCGAUAGUUACCAAAUAUAUUAUCUGGUAUAACUAUGAACACAGAACUUGAACCUAGACUUCCUGAAGACUUCUCAACAGAUGAUCUCGUGUACUUUAAGUUUGCACCAAUUACGUCAGUGGACAUUGAGCGAUCGUUUUCAAUGUACAAGACUACUCAGAAACAAUCGAAGAUCAUUUCACUUUGAAAACUUGUACAAACAUCUAAUUAUUCAAUGUAACUUUCAAGAACACUUGCAGAAUAAAUGAGUACCACAAGUCGUUUACCACAAUAAUUCCGAUGUAAUAUUAUUCAAUUUUUUUUUUAAUAAUAAAAGCUUGAUAAUUUUUUUUAUACAAA
Molecule: long non-coding RNA, 1725 nt
Organism: Metopolophium dirhodum (rose-grain aphid)
Lineage: Eukaryota; Metazoa; Arthropoda; Insecta; Hemiptera; Aphididae
Exons: 3
Source: RefSeq, a predicted model, not a curated record